RNAcentral lists this ribosomal RNA (490 nucleotides) under uncultured bacterium. Its description in RNAcentral is "partial 16S ribosomal RNA". It matches the Rfam family "Bacterial small subunit ribosomal RNA", at positions 29 to 506 of the family's 1533-position model. The record is from RNAcentral.
GUGAACGCUGGCGGUAGGCCUAACCCAUGCAAGUCGAACGGCAGCACAGUAAGAGCUUGCUCUUACGGGUGGCGAGUGGCGGACGGGUGAGGAAUACAUCGGAAUCUACUUUUUCGUGGGGGAUAACGUAGGGAAACUUACGCUAAUACCGCAUACGACCUACGGGUGAAAGCAGGGGAUCUUCGGACCUUGCGCGAUUGAAUGAGCCGAUGUCGGAUUAGCUAGUUGGCGGGGUAAAGGCCCACCAAGGCGACGAUCCGUAGCUGGUCUGAGAGGAUGAUCAGCCACACUGGAACUGAGACACGGUCCAGACGCCUACGGGAGGCAGCAGUGGGGAAUAUUGGACAAUGGGCGCAAGCCUGAUCCAGCCAUACCGCGUGGGUGAAGAAGGCCUUCGGGUUGUAAAGCCCUUUUGUUGGGAAAGAAAAGCAGCAGGUUAAUACCCCGCUGUUCUGACGGUACCCAAAGAAUAAGCACCGGCUAACUUCGU